AGAAGUGAGAAUGCCGGUAUGAGUAGCGAAAGAAGGGUGAGAAUCCCUUCCACCGAAUAUCUAAGGUUUCCUGAGGAAGGCUCGUCCGCUCAGGGUUAGUCGGGACCUAAGCCGAGGCCGAUAGGCGUAGGCGAUGGACAACAGGUAGAGAUUCCUGUACCAGUGCUAAUUGUUUAACCGAUGGGGUGACACAGAAGGAUAGGGAAUCGCACGAAUGGAAAUGUGCGUCCAAGCAGUGAGUGUGAGAAGUAGGCAAAUCCGCUUCUCGCGAAGCAUGAGCUGUGAUGGGGAAGGAAAUUAAGUACGGAAGUUCCUGAUUUCACGCUGUCAAGAAAAGCCUCUAGGAAGAGUAGUACUGCCCGUACCGCAAACCGACACAGGUAGAUGAGGAGAGAAUCCUAAGGUGAGCGAGAGAACUCUCGUUAAGGAACUCGGCAAAAUGACCCCGUAACUUCGGGAGAAGGGGUGCUCUAUUAGGGUGCAAGCCCGAGAGAGCCGCAGUGAAUAGGCCCAGGCGACUGUUUAGCAAAAACACAGGUCUCUGCAAAACCGUAAGGUGACGUAUAGGGGCUGACGCCUGCCCGGUGCUGGAAGGUUAAGAGGAGUGCUUAGCUUCGGCGAAGGUACGAAUUGAAGCCCCAGUAAACGGCGGCCGUAACUAUAACGGUCCUAAGGUAGCGAAAUUCCUUGUCGGGUAAGUUCCGACCCGAACGAAAGGCGCAACGAUCUGGGCACUGUCUCAACGAGAGACUCGGUGAAAUUAUAGUACCUGUGAAGAUGCAGGUUACCCGCGACAGGACGGAAAGACCCCGUGGAGCUUUACUGCAACCUGAUAUGGAAUGUUUGUACCGCUUGUACAGGAUAGGUAGG
RNAcentral lists this ribosomal RNA (870 nucleotides) under Listeria monocytogenes. RNAcentral describes it as "bacterial LSU rRNA". It matches the Rfam family "Bacterial large subunit ribosomal RNA", at positions 1284 to 2151 of the family's 2925-position model. Lineage: Bacteria; Bacillati; Bacillota; Bacilli; Caryophanales; Listeriaceae. The record is from RNAcentral.